RNAcentral lists this transfer RNA (67 nucleotides) under Marmota monax (woodchuck). Its description in RNAcentral is "tRNA.Ala". Lineage: Eukaryota; Metazoa; Chordata; Mammalia; Rodentia; Sciuridae. The record is from RNAcentral.
GGUUGUGGCUCAGUGGCAGAGCGCUUUCCUAGCACCUGCAAGGCCCUGGGUUCAAUCCCCAGAACCA